AUUAGAUACCCUGGUAGUCCACGCAGUAAACGAUGAAUACUAGCUGUCCGGGGCGAAUGAGCCCUGGGUGGCACAGCGAAAGCGUUAAGUAUUCCACCUGGGGAGUACGCCGGCAACGGUGAAACUCAAAGGAAUUGACGGGGGCCCGCACAAGCGGAGGAACAUGUGGUUUAAUUCGAUGAUACGCGAGGAACCUUACCCGGGCUCAAACGACACAGGAACGGUCCUGAAAGGGGUCGGCUCUACGGAGCCUGUGUCGAGGUGCUGCAUGGUUGUCGUCAGCUCGUGCCGUGAGGUGUCGGCUUAAGUGCCAUAACGAGCGCAACCCCCAUCGACAGUUGCUAACAGGUCAAGCUGAGGACUCUGUCGAGACUGCCGGCGCAAGCUGCGAGGAAGGCGGGGAUGACGUCAAAUCAGCACGGCCCUUACGUCCGGGGCGACACACGUGUUACAAUGGCAGGUACAGCGGGAAGCCACCUGGCGACAGGGAGCGGAACCCGAAAGCCUGUCUCAGUUCGGAUUGGAGUCUGCAACCCGACUCCAUGAAGCUGGAUUCGCUAGUAAUCGCGCAUCAGCCACGGCGCGGUGAAUACGUUCCCGGGCCUUGUACACACCGCCCGUCAAGCCAUGGAAGCCGGGGGUGCCUGAAGUGCGCUGCCGCAAGGAGCGUCCUAGGGUAAAACCGGUGACUGGGGCUAAGUCGUAACAAGGUAAC
Molecule: ribosomal RNA, 715 nt
Filed under: uncultured bacterium
Lineage: Bacteria
Description: bacterial SSU rRNA
Rfam family: Bacterial small subunit ribosomal RNA
Source: RNAcentral